UGACCGAGAGCUCCACGGGAAUCUCCAGUCCGCCCUUUUUCAGACCGGUCAAUUCUAUGCACUCCCAGUAUUCCAGCUGCCGAUCUCCGGUGGUGAUGUAGGUCUUCAAUGAAGCCUGGUGAACAUGUUGCAGGUAUUCGGGCAUCAGCGCGGUGAGCUUCUGGCCCAGGAGCUCCUCGGACCCAUGUCCGAAUAUUCUCUCGGCGGCGCGAUUCACAGAAAUGAUCGCGCUCUCUUGAUCGGUCGUAAUGAUUGCGUCUGUGGCGGUCUCGGCGACAUUGCGGUAGUGUUCCUCGCUCUCGCGAAGUUUCUCCUCCGCUCUCUUCUGCUCGGCGAUAUCCCGAGCUAUCGUGGAAGCGCCAAUGAUCUUGCCGGCGGAAUCCUGGAUGGGAGAUACAGUCAUAGAAACAUGAAUCGGAUCUCCGUCUUUGUGCAAACGCACGGUUUCAUAAUGCGCUUCGCUGUCCCCCCGGCGGAUCCGAUCGAGAAUCCGGCUCACCUCACCUGUGCGAUCAGCCGGGACUAUGAUACUUAUGUGCCGUCCUAUGGCCUCCACCGCAGAGUAACCAAACAGCCUUUCUGCUCCAGGGUUCCACGUCGAUAUGGUGCCAUCCAGUGUCUUGCCGAUGAUGGAUUCACUGGAGGACUCCACAAUGGCCGCGAGUCGCAGGAGCGACUCCUGGGCCCGCUUGCGCUCGGUGAUGUCGCGAACGAUGCACGUAAAAACGUGCUUCUCGUUCUUGGUAAAUCUGCUGACCGAGAGUUCCACCGGAAUCUCCAGUCCGCCUUUUUUCAGACCGGUCAAUUCUAUGCACUCCCAGUACUCGAGUUGCCGAUCUCCAGUGGUGAUGUGGGUUUUCAGGGAGGCCUGGUGAACAUGGCGCAGGUAUUCGGGCAUCAGCGCGGUGAGCUUUUGGCCCAGGAGUUCCUCGGAUCGGUGGCCGAAUAUUCUCUCGGCUGCCCGAUUCACAGAAAUGAUUGCGCUCUCUUCAUCGGUCGUAAUGAUUGCGUCUGUGGCGGUCUCGGCGACGUUGCGAUAGUGUUCCUCGCUCUCG
Molecule: unclassified non-coding RNA, 1055 nt
Filed under: uncultured fungus
Lineage: Eukaryota; Fungi
Description: sequence contains 18S rRNA gene, ITS1, 5.8S rRNA gene, ITS2, 28S rRNA gene
Source: RNAcentral